This 253-nucleotide ribosomal RNA is filed under the name uncultured bacterium. Its description in RNAcentral is "partial 16S ribosomal RNA". It matches the Rfam family "Bacterial small subunit ribosomal RNA", at positions 524 to 776 of the family's 1533-position model. The record is from RNAcentral.
UACAGAGGGUGCGAGCGUUAAUCGGAAUUACUGGGCGUAAAGGGCGCGUAGGCGGUUAUGUAAGUUAGAUGUGAAAUCCCUGGGCUUAACCUAGGAACUGCAUCUGAUACUGUAUAACUGGAGUGCGGUAGAGGGUAGUGGAAUUUCCGGUGUAGCGGUGAAAUGCGUAGAUAUCGGAAGGAACACCAGUGGCGAAGGCGGCUACCUGGACUGACACUGACGCUGAGGCGCGAGAGCGUGGGGAGCAAACAGG